RNAcentral lists this non-coding RNA (24 nucleotides) under Mus musculus (house mouse). Lineage: Eukaryota; Metazoa; Chordata; Mammalia; Rodentia; Muridae. The record is from RNAcentral.
UUGAUAUGUGGAGGACGAAGGGAA